This 253-nucleotide ribosomal RNA is filed under the name uncultured bacterium. RNAcentral's name for it is "partial 16S ribosomal RNA". It matches the Rfam family "Bacterial small subunit ribosomal RNA", at positions 524 to 776 of the family's 1533-position model. The record is from RNAcentral.
UACAGAGGGUGCAAGCGUUAAUCGGAGUUACUGGGCGUAAAGGGCGCGUAGGUGGUUUGUUAAGUGAGCUGUGAAAUCCCUGGGCUUAACCUAGGAACUGCAACUUAUACUGGCAAGCUGGAGUACUGUAGAGGGUAGUGGAAUUUCCGGUGUAGCGGUGAAAUGCGUAGAGAUCGGAAGGAACACCAGUGGCGAAGGCGGCUACCUGGACAGAUACUGACACUGAGGCGCGAGAGCGUGGGGAGCAAACAGG